AUGCCAGCUGAAGUCAGCAGAGGGUCUGUUGCAGGAAUCCUAGGAGUGCAGGAGCUGGAGUGGUCCUGCUCAUCUUGCUCGUGUGCGUGCGUGCAUGCGUGCAUGUGUGUGUUUCUGCAUCAGAGCUCACACUGCCUGCCUCCGUUUGCAUGUCUUUAUUCUCAGAUGAGGGAAGAAGGGAGGGAGGCAGUGUGGCUGAUGGUAACAAGCGUCCACCCCCAAGCCGGUCCGUUGGGGGAGGGGAGCCUGUGCCUGCCCUCUAGGCACGGCCUUGGCAGAGAUGUCCCAAAACAAGAGGUCUGUGGAGGGUCGUGGCACCAAACCUAUGAUGCCUCUUCUUCUGAUUUCUCAACAGGAAUAAUCCAGGUCGCCUUCACUGGAAAUCAGUUUGCUGAAACUAUUGAUACGCAGAUCUUAACGCUGAAGAAAAGGAGGUCCUGCGCCUUGACCACACAAGCGUGGCCCUUCCUCCAGACCCCCGCUCCGGACGCGCCCACCUAGCGUCUCCCAGGAACCAUGCGGCAGCUCAAGGGGAAGCCCAAGAAGGAGACGUCCAAGGACAAGAAGGAGCGGAAGCAGGCCAUGCAGGAGGCCCGGCAGCAGAUCACCACCGUGGUGCUGCCCACGCUGGCCGUGGUCGUGGUCCUGAUCGUGGUGUUUGUGUACGUGGCCACGCGCCCCACCAUCACCGAGUGAGGGCCCGCCCCGAGGGAGGAGGCUCGGGAGGGGAGAGCAGAAGAAGGGCCUUCAUCCGCUGCGAUUUUCCUGAUGCCGAGCUCUGAGCAGGAGCCCCCGUCUCCUCUGGUCUGUGACUUGAUUAAAGGUUCUCCACUUUUCUCGGGAGGGAAUAGGAAACGUUUUAUCAGUGAACGUGCCAUACACCUUAUGGUCCACUUCAUGUGCCUUUCAGACUUCAAAGCCGUGUGUGUGUGUGUGUGUGUGUGUGUGUGUGUUUCUCGCCUGCAAUCGAUGUGUAGCCCCACCUGGUGAGAGGAGGCGUCUCUGGGUCACGGAUCAGUUGGAAUCAGUGCUCACCCCAUCCCCGUUGUUUUGAACAUGACUUUCCUACACGUGUUCACAAUUUCCAAAGGGACUGUGUUUCUUCUCUGUGCUUCAUGUGAUUUGAAAUAUGUCGACUCAAAAGUGAAAUAUUUAUUUUUUGAAUAAAGGAGAUGAUAGCCUU
Molecule: long non-coding RNA, 1183 nt
Filed under: Sus scrofa (pig)
Lineage: Eukaryota; Metazoa; Chordata; Mammalia; Artiodactyla; Suidae
Description: lncRNA (ENSSSCG00050033795.1)
Source: RNAcentral